CUGCAGCCCGGCCUGAGUGGAGCUCUUUUUCUUUUUUAUCAAAAAAGAAAAAAGCGGGAACGGAGGACGGAUAAAGC
This 77-nucleotide unclassified non-coding RNA is filed under the name Epilithonimonas pallida. RNAcentral's name for it is "Flavo-1 RNA". The record is from RNAcentral. Lineage: Bacteria; Pseudomonadati; Bacteroidota; Flavobacteriia; Flavobacteriales; Weeksellaceae.